AAUCACUCUGCGUAAAGGCUGCAGAAGUUCCUUAAACGGACUUUUAAACACCUUAAGUUCCAGUCUCCAUCAUGUUAAGGGUCAGAGGAGUAUGAUAGCGAGGAACAUUUUCUGCUUUCUGUCCUGUAGAGCUGCUGGCAUUUCAUGAAACCAGUUGUGUAGUGUAUGCAGUGGAAGUGGUCUGGUCCGUGUGGUUAUGGAGGGGUUUUGGGCUGUGUUUUCCCCUGUGCUGAGGGUCUGGUUCACCAGUUUGGUGGUCCUGAUCAUGCUGCCUGCCAUGUUUGGGAUCUCGCUUGGCAUCACUGAGACCUACAUGAAGAUCCUUAUCAAAACCUUAGAGCUUUGCCUGCUGUUUUUGCAGUGGGCAACACACAGAAUCCAAAGGGCGAGUAGAGCAGAGGAGAUACUGAAACAUUCCGCAUCAAAUGGUGAGUUUAUACAGCUACAGUCACAGACACAU
This 460-nucleotide long non-coding RNA is filed under the name Sinocyclocheilus anshuiensis. RNAcentral describes it as "lncRNA (ENSSANG00000004326.1)". The record is from RNAcentral. Lineage: Eukaryota; Metazoa; Chordata; Actinopteri; Cypriniformes; Cyprinidae.